AGCAGCCGCGGUAAUUCCGGCUCCAAUAGCGUAUAUUAAAGUUGUUGCAGUUAAAAAGCUCGUAGUUGAAUUUCGGGGUCAGCAGGUUGGUCGUGCCACUGGUAUGCACUGGCCUCGCUGAUUCCUCCCUCUUGUAGAACCGUAAUGCCAUUAAGUUGGUGUUGCGGGGAAACAGGACUGUUACUUUGAAAAAUUAGAGUGUUUAAAGCAGGCUAACGCUUGAAUACAUUAGCAUGGAAUAAUGAAAUAGGACGAUCGAUCCUAUUUUGUUGGUUUCUAGGGUUGACGUAAUGAUUAAUAGGGAUAGUUGGGGGCAUUAGUAUUCAAUUGUCAGAGGUGAAAUUCUUGGAUUUAUUGAAGACUAACUACUGCGAAAGCAUUUGCCAAGGAUGUUUUCAUUAAUCAAGAACGAAAGUUAGGGGAUCGAAGACGAUCAGAUACCGUCGUAGUCUUAACCAUAAACUAUGCCGACUAGGGAUCGGAUGAUGUUAAUUUUUAAUGUACUCAUUCGGCGCCUUAC
Molecule: ribosomal RNA, 520 nt
Filed under: uncultured Glomus
Lineage: Eukaryota; Fungi; Glomeromycota; Glomeromycetes; Glomerales; Glomeraceae
Description: SSU rRNA
Rfam family: Eukaryotic small subunit ribosomal RNA
Source: RNAcentral